GAUGAAGAACGCAGCGAAAUGCGAUAAGUAGUGUGAAUUGCAGAAUUCAGUGAAUCAUCGAAUCUUUGAACGCACAUUGCGCCCCUUGGUAUUCCAUGGGGCAUGCCUGUUCGAGCGUCAUUUGUACCUUCAAGCUCUGCUUGGUGUUGGGUGUUUGUCUCGCCUCUGCGUGUAGACUCGCCUCAAAACAAUUGGCAGCCGGCGUAUUGAUUUCGGAGCGCAGUACAUCUCGCGCUUUGCACUCCUAACGACGACGUCCAAAAGUACAUUUUUACACUCUUGACCUCGGAUCAGGUAGGGAUACCCGCUGAACUUAAGCAUAUCAAUAAGCGGAGGA
This 337-nucleotide unclassified non-coding RNA is filed under the name soil metagenome. RNAcentral's name for it is "partial contains 5.8S ribosomal RNA, internal transcribed spacer 2, and large subunit ribosomal RNA". The stretch from base 1 to 120 matches the Rfam family "5.8S ribosomal RNA", at positions 35 to 154 of the family's 154-position model. The record is from RNAcentral.